Molecule: ribosomal RNA, 498 nt
Filed under: Triticum aestivum (bread wheat)
Lineage: Eukaryota; Viridiplantae; Streptophyta; Magnoliopsida; Poales; Poaceae
Description: partial small subunit ribosomal RNA
Source: RNAcentral
AUGCUUCGGUACCCGUCCCUCUCUCAGUCUCUCUCCCCGUCUCGCCAUGCUUGCUCUUCUCGCGAGGAUUUUUUGUUUUGUUUCUGUUUCCGGGAGCUCGGAGGGGAUCCUUGGUGUUCUUGGCGGGGGAGGAGGCGGCCUUGCUUGUUUUGGAUCGACUGCGAAAUCUUCUGCUUAUUUGGUGUUUCUUUUGCCGGCGGGAUUGGUUUGUCGGUAGAGCACACACAACUACGAGCGCUUCUUCUGCUUAUCCACCAAUGCCGGAGCUGUGUUGUCGAUUUCUGCUUGGAUUCUGCCUGGGUUACUUUCACGCAAACCAUCUCUGGUUUCCCUCUGCUGCUCAUAAAUAGGAGCACGCCACUCCCUUUUGAUCGAGCUGCUGCCUGGCCCUGCCUUCAGAAAAAAAAGAAAAGAAAAAGAAAUGCCCCUGCAUUUGACCAAUUUGUCCGCUCUCUAUCUCCGAUUCAUCCGGGCUUUUUCCUCGGUGCUGUCAUCUGA